RNAcentral lists this ribosomal RNA (526 nucleotides) under uncultured bacterium. Its description in RNAcentral is "bacterial SSU rRNA". It matches the Rfam family "Bacterial small subunit ribosomal RNA", at positions 776 to 1301 of the family's 1533-position model. The record is from RNAcentral.
AAAUAGAUACCCAGGUAGUCCACGCCGUAAACGAUGAGUGCUAAGUGUUAGAGGGUUUCCGCCCUUUAGUGCUGCAGCUAACGCAUUAAGCACUCCGCCUGGGGAGUACGGCCGCAAGGCUGAAACUCAAAGGAAUUGACGGGGGCCCGCACAAGCGGUGGAGCAUGUGGUUUAAUUCGAAGCAACGCGAAGAACCUUACCAGGUCUUGACAUCCUCUGCCAACCCUAGAGAUAGGGCGUUCCCCUUCGGGGGACAGAGUGACAGGUGGUGCAUGGUUGUCGUCAGCUCGUGUCGUGAGAUGUUGGGUUAAGUCCCGCAACGAGCGCAACCCUUGAUCUUAGUUGCCAGCAUUCAGUUGGGCACUCUAAGGUGACUGCCGGUGACAAACCGGAGGAAGGUGGGGAUGACGUCAAAUCAUCAUGCCCCUUAUGACCUGGGCUACACACGUGCUACAAUGGAUGGUACAAAGAGCUGCGAACCCGCGAGGGUAAGCCAAUCUCAUAAGCCAUUCUCAGUUCGGAUUGU